CCAGAGGGACUGCACAGAAAACUCACGAUUAAGGUUAACAGGGGCCAGGAGGAGAUCUAUGCAUUCAGAUAUUAAAUUAAUAAGUAACAAGUGCAUUAAAAAUAUGUGACCAAGACCUCUGAUGCAUUAGUAACAAGAUGCUAGCUUAGCUUCCCAACUAGACUUUGUUGGAUUUUUUAAAAACAGAAUUUUAUCUGUGUUUUUCAAACUAGGCCAAGAGGCCUCCUCUAUUUCUAAAACACAAAAAUUCUUUCUGUUCCUCUUCUCAAACCAAAUCAGACUCUGGACACACCCAGGAGCUCACUGUGUCUUUUAGUUAACUCUCUGUCGCCUUUCACUUGAGAGAAAGUUCUGCCGGUAACAAAACCUGCUAUACUAGCCAAGAGGGAAAAGGACUUGAAGGAAGAGGAAGAACACGUUUUUAAUAAUUGUUCUCAAAUCAUAUGAGGAUAAAAAGUAAAAGAAGUCGAGAAAUAUGCCACUCCAUGCAGGAGUCACUCUGGACAAGUGUUUCCAAGCUAUGGCCUAUAGGUCAGCCAUCAUGGCAACCAAAGGAGAAUGUAAUUACAAAUGAGGACCUGUGAGGAGUGUCUAAGACAGUUCCCACAAAGGGUACAGUGGAGAAAAAAAAUCUGUGCAAACGAAGAAAGGCGACACUGGAAACUCAUGAGAGCAGAGAAGAAAAAGUUCACAGGAGGUGACAGUGGGAAUGAAGAUGAGGCUGGAGAGGAGGAGGUGUUGGAGCAAUGUCUUAUGCCUGGUGAUAAAUGAAAAUGCUGAAUUUCCACAGAGACAUCCUGUGAAGGACCCUGCUGGAAAACAUUCAGUGGUGCUGCUGACAGCAAAGCUGCAAGAUGACUAGUGUCCGUGUGUUGGAAGUGAAAGGUUCUCCGUGUUAUUUGUCUUGUUUUUGGUUGUUGGAUGUAGGUAAUACACCUUAUAAUUCAGCAAACCCAGACUGGAUGAGUGCAACUAAUGCCACGUAAAUUUAAACAUCAACUUCUGAGGUAAGGAAGAGAAGAAAGUAAAUGAAAACGGGGUAUUGACUCUUAAAUGUGACACCCUAGGGAGGCAGUUUGCAUAGUGGUUAAGAACACAGACCAGAUUUGCCUGCAUUUGAAUCUAACUUCCUUUUUUGACUAUGUGACUCUGGGCACAUUUCUUAUCUUUUCUUUGCCUCAGCUUUCUCAUCUUUAAAGUUGGAGGACAGUUUGACCUCAUGGGGUUAUUACAAGGAUUAAUUUAGUUUAUUAACAGUACUUAGAACAUUGCCUGGCAAUAGUAAACACCACAUAAAUGUCAGUUACUAUCACUCAAAAUUAUAAUAAUGAAUAGAUGAAGGCUCCAGAAACAUUUUUAGCUUUUAGAAGUCUGAGGUUUGUUUUUUUUUUUUUUUUUUUUGUAGUGUUUUUGAAUUUUAAAAGAUCACCAAUGGGGCUUGGAUUACUCCAAGAAAAAAAAAGUGUGGCUUCAUACACUGAUAAAUGAGUUUUUAAGAGAGAAACCAUUUUGUAUGACCCAGUACAAGGAGUAAAGUUGACUCACAGGAGAUGUCUGGCUGGCAUGAAAACCAUUAAAGAAAAUCCUGAGCACGAUGUUGACCUCAACUCAGAAACACAUGCUUUACAUUAUCAUCCUAUCACUUAUUGAGCUCCUGGCAUGUGUCGCUGAAACAGACAGACUUGUUGUUUUUGUAAUUUUUUUCAAGUAGUCAUUCUCUGUUAUUGCUUUUGAUUUAGAUAAACGACCUUCUAACUAACUACUGGGAAACCUUUUGUAGACUUUAUUUGUGAUGGUUAUGUGAAGUGAUAGCUGCGAAAGACUGUCAAAAUCGCUCUUAACAGUGUGCUUUUCCAAAAGAAAGGCCAAUUUCUUUGAAAGUAAUAAUGAAAGAAUAAUACAAUCCCAGAUAUAAGAAGGAAUAAGGUCUGUGAGCUCAUGGAUGGCAUUCAUCUCCGAAGACAGGAAAGUCUGUCUCAGGAGCUAACCGGUUUUGCUUGCUUCCUACCGCUGAGUACACUUGAGUAGCUACAAUGGGAGCAAAGUACACUGGGCAGUGCCCCAGCAAAUGACUUUUCUUGCCAGGAAAGACUAGGGCAAUUCUGCCUCUACAGUAAAGGCUGAUUCACAGCUGUAUAAGAGUCUGGCUUUUCACUGAAGAUGUGACUACCUUGAAUGGCCUGAAUGUUCAUUAUAUAUUCAGUAUAUGUACUACUUUUAAUAGGGCUUCCCCGGUGGUUCAGCGGUACGGAAUUGGCCUGCAAUGCUAGAGACACAGGAGACAUGGGUUCCAUGCCCUGGGCUGGGAAGAUCCCCUGGAGGAGGGCAUGGCUACCCGCUCCAGUA
This is a long non-coding RNA of Bubalus bubalis (water buffalo), 2346 nucleotides long. RefSeq lists it as uncharacterized. The record is from RefSeq and is a predicted model, not a curated record. Lineage: Eukaryota; Metazoa; Chordata; Mammalia; Artiodactyla; Bovidae. The transcript is spliced from 3 exons.